This 253-nucleotide ribosomal RNA is filed under the name uncultured prokaryote. RNAcentral's name for it is "partial 16S ribosomal RNA". It matches the Rfam family "Bacterial small subunit ribosomal RNA", at positions 524 to 776 of the family's 1533-position model. The record is from RNAcentral.
UACGGAGGGUGCGAGCGUUAAUCGGAAUUACUGGGCGUAAAGCGCGCGUAGGUGGUUUGAUAAGCGAGAUGUGAAAGCCCCGGGCUCAACCUGGGAAUGGCAUUUCGAACUGUCAGGCUAGAGUGUGGUAGAGGGGUGUGGAAUUUCCUGUGUAGCGGUGAAAUGCGUAGAUAUAGGAAGGAACACCAGUGGCGAAGGCGGCACCCUGGACCAACACUGACACUGAGGUGCGAAAGCGUGGGGAGCAAACAGG